UCGAGGGGUAACAUUGGUGCUUGCACCAGAUGACGACCGGCGCACGGGUGCGUAACGCGUAUACAAUCUGCCUUGUACUGGGGGAUAGCCUUUAGAAAUGAAGAUUAAGACCCCAUAGUAUUAUAGAUUCGCAUGAUGAAAUAAUUAAAGGUUACGGUACAAGAUGAGUAUGCGUCCUAUUAGCUAGAUGGAGUGGUAACGGCACCCCAUGGCGACGAUAGGUAGGGGCCCUGAGAGGGGGAUCCCCCACACUGGUACUGAGACACGGACCAGACUCCUACGGGAGGCAGCAGUGAGGAAUAUUGGACAAUGGGGGCAACCCUGAUCCAGCCAUGCCGCGUGCAGGAAGACUGCCCUAUGGGUUGUAAACUGCUUUUAUACGGGAAGAAACACCGCUACGUGUAGCGGCUUGACGGUACCGUAAGAAUAAGGAUCGGCUAACUCCGUGCCAGCAGCCGCGGUAAUACGGAGGAUCCAAGCGUUAUCCGGAAUCAUUGGGUUUAAAGGGUCCGUAGGUGGGCUGGUCAGUCAGAGGUGAAAUCCCACGGCUCAACCGUGGAACUGCCUUUGAUACUGCUAGUCUUGAGUUAUUAUGAAGUAGUUAGAAUAUGUAGUGUAGCGGUGAAAUGCAUAGAUAUUACAUAGAAUACCAAUUGCGAAGGCAGAUUACUAAUAAUAUACUGACACUGAUGGACGAAAGCGUAGGUAGCGAACGGGAUUAGAUACCCCGGUAGUCUACGCCGUAAACGAUGGAUACUAGCUGUCCGGCUUCGGCUGGGUGGCUAAGCGAAAGUGAUAAGUAUCCCACCUGGGGAGUACGUUCGCAAGAAUGAAACUCAAAGGAAUUGACGGGGGCCCGCACAAGCGGUGGAGCAUGUGGUUUAAUUCGAUGAUACGCGAGGAACCUUACCAGGGCUUAAAUGUAAGUUGCAUUAGCUGGAGACAGCUAUUUCUUCGGACCACUUACAAGGUGCUGCAUGGUUGUCGUCAGCUCGUGCCGUGAGGUGUCA
Molecule: ribosomal RNA, 1010 nt
Filed under: uncultured bacterium
Lineage: Bacteria
Description: bacterial SSU rRNA
Rfam family: Bacterial small subunit ribosomal RNA
Source: RNAcentral